Molecule: small nucleolar RNA, 123 nt
Filed under: Echinops telfairi (small Madagascar hedgehog)
Lineage: Eukaryota; Metazoa; Chordata; Mammalia; Afrosoricida; Tenrecidae
Description: Small nucleolar RNA SNORA61 (ENSETEG00000026652.1)
Source: RNAcentral
ACCCUCUGGAUGCCUUACCGGAGACUUACCUAAAGACUGGUCUGAGCGGCUAAUGAAGGAGGAAAAGUAAAUCUGAAAUGAACUUGGAAUCUUUAGAGUCAUACAAGUUCAUUUCAAACAUAC